Molecule: ribosomal RNA, 333 nt
Filed under: uncultured Chloroflexota bacterium
Lineage: Bacteria; Bacillati; Chloroflexota
Description: bacterial SSU rRNA
Rfam family: Bacterial small subunit ribosomal RNA
Source: RNAcentral
GAUGAACGUUGGCGGUGUGCCUAAUACAUGCAAGUCGAACGGAGAUCAUAAAGUAGUAAUACCUUGUGAUUCUUAGUGGCGAACGGGUGAGUAACGCGUUGGUGACCUGCCCCGAAGUGUGGAAUAACAAUUCGAAAGAAUUGCUAAUACCGCAUGUGAUUUUAGAGACUAGAUGCUCUUUUAUUAAAGGAUUUAUUCGCUUCGGGAGGGGCCUGCGUCCCAUCAGCUAGUUGGUAAGGUAAUGGCUUACCAAGGCUAUGACGGGUAGGGGACCUGAGAGGGUGGCCCCCCACAAUGGAACUGAAACACGGUCCAUACACCUACGGGAGGCUG